Long non-coding RNA from Biomphalaria glabrata, 2256 nucleotides. RefSeq lists it as uncharacterized. The record is from RefSeq and is a predicted model, not a curated record. The transcript is spliced from 12 exons. Lineage: Eukaryota; Metazoa; Mollusca; Gastropoda; Planorbidae.
UUGUGACUGAACGUCGCAUGAGGUUUGAGGGACAUGUUCUACGUCAAAAUGAAUUACGCACACCAAGAGUUGCGAUAACAUGGAAGCCAAAACAAGGAAAGCGCAAACAGAGACGUCCUCGUAUUACCUGGCGACACACCUUCAUGGAGGACCUCAGAACAGUGGACACCAGGUGGGAGGAGGCUUCAGACAUUACCAGUGAUAGAUCAUUAUGGAGACAGCUUGCCGCCCAAUGCGCCGAACGGCGCCGGAGGACCUAUGUCUAAAAUGUUGAGUCAGAUAUUGAAGCCAGAGCUUUGUAUCUAAGUCAAAGACCACUAGUAUUUGACAGUGUUUACAGAGGACAAGAUGUCCCAGCUCAGUCCAAAAUUCAUAAAGACUGUGUCUCAGCGAAGCAUAAAAGUUGGUCUUGGAUUCAAAACGUCAAUGAAUGUUUAGGCAUUUAUAGUGAAAAUACUGCUAACUAUCAUCAGUUCUACCAUGAUGUUUGCCACCUGGAAGAAGACAUGCUUUCAUUCUUGCUUUGGAUGGACAGUUCAACAGUCAGAGCUCAAGUCAAGACUCAAGAUCCUGAUGUCAUGUUAAAACAUUUCAGAUUAAUAAACAAUUGUUGGACUAUCAGGGCUAGUUAGAUCUUCUCACAGAGCGAAGUUGAGAUAUUCACCCAGUUCAUCACCGCCAAAAACUGCCAGAAUGGCAUUUGAAGGCUAGAGCUCUUGUCCAAUAUCAGCACAAACAUGUGUCAUUAGCAAAAGGGGACUUUGUCAAGAUUUUGGAAAAUUUUGAUGCUGAAAGAUGGAAGAUGGAAUAGAAAGUGAAGUCCCUGCUAUUGUGUUGGUCAUUCCUUCCUGCUUCCAACAGAUUGAUAAAUUAAGAGAACAAAUCAAGGUCAAUAGUUCUAUUGCUGCUAAAAGAUUAAGGUCACAUUUGAUCCAGUUUUUAAGUGCUGCUAUUUCCCAGACACAGUCCAAAGAUUUAUGUUUUUCCUGCUGAAGAUGAUGAAUGAGGCAGCAGACAUCUUGAAAGGAGCUGAUUUCAAGUUCCUUCAACACUCUUUUCAUUUUAUUUAGGAAGAAGCUCAUCAGUCACUUCAAACCAGGUGAUGAUGGAGUCAUAAACAGUAGGAUACAGAGGUGAAACAAAACUGGAGCUUUAGUUUGUUUGUUUGUAGAACUUGGCAUCUACUCCAGACAUUAUUCUGAAGAACACUCAAGUAAAAGAAAAGAAGAAAUGUUAAAGGUUAAGGACUUGGGCUCCAAUCAUACUUACACUUCAAAAGCUUUAAUUUGAAAGGUCUUAUAUUUUUGUGGAAAUAAAUUUUACUAGUGGAGUUUUUGUAGCUGCCAGAGUGGAUCAAGGUGGAUGUGAUAUCUAUUUAUAAACAUGUAUACCAGUAUAUUGUAAUCAGUGAUUUUCAUUUUUUGGUAACAGUUUGUUUCCAUUUAGAUUGCAGUCUUUCUUAUGUGAAAACAAGAUGUCUGCAUAAUCUUAGAGGACAUUUUUAAACUCAUUUAAAUUUAUUAGAUGAAAUAUUUAUAAAACAUACAAUGUAAAUUGUUUUGUAAAAUGAUUAUACAUUUGAGUUCAUAAAAAUGUGUAAUUUUUUAAUGGCAUCAUGUUUCUGCUUAUCUGUAUCUGAUACUGAUGAUGUGUUUUCUAAAUCUAUUACUGCUUCACCAUUGAGGAAAAACUGCACAUGUUUAAACCCAUAUCUGAAGUAACUUUCCAGAAAAAAAAAAGAUGUAUGUUGGACAGUGUCCAAAAUUUCAAAUCAUUUCCUUCAAAAUGUUAUCAAUUUCCUCCAUAACUUCAUAACAUUAUUGAAUUUUUUCCUUCAGAACACAAUUGUAAAUUAUCUUUUUUUUUUUUUUUUUUUGUUAAACCACAAUGAGAGUCUAAUAACUAAUAGUCUAGCAAACAAUUACUUAUAAUUUGCCUUAUUAUUAUACAAUAUUAAGAUUUACUUCUGCAGGGAUGAAAAACUUUUUUUAAAAUACAAUAGACAUGUAUAAUAAUAAAGUACAUUCACACCUGACUCACUCAUAAUUUACAUGUGAAAAGUUUAUAUCAGAUUGUUUCUAUUUAAUGAUUUGAUUGCCAUCAGUGUCUUGUAUCUCUUUUGUGAUGGUAAAGUCACAAAAUGUAGGAAACCCCACUGUGUUUGGUCCAGUAUGUGGGUUAUUAUAUGUAAGUCUAUUGUAUUUUCUAUAUUAUUUUACAAAUGUAAAAAAAAUAAAAAGAAAUUGUUACACUGUU